GGUUCUCGGGGUCUCGAAUUUCUCGCUGCACCAAUUAAGUCUAUGCACUUAGUCGCUGCCAGAAGCCGCGGAGGCACGACGUGUAAGGCUGCAUUCCAAGACCUCGCGCCGAUAGCAUUUACCGACUGGACCACGAUCAAGAAUUUCAUCCAGGGCGGUACACAGGCGGCAGUGGCACCUGGGCGUCCUUUUCCUUUCCCUCCCUCCCUCGGGUGCCAGAAAGCAUCGUUCGCCAGAGGUCCCCAUCAGCAGGAGCUGCGACUCGCACAGCAGUACGUCAGGAGGUCCUCAGCCACUCACCUGCGUCGUGGCCCUCACCUGAGCUUUCUCCCUCCGCCGCCACCUGCCUCAUCCUGUCACGUCAGCCGCCACAUAAAUCUCCCAUGAUAAUGAUGGAUGGAUAUCCGAGGGCCAUCUGAUGGGAGGCUGACGAACUAUACCGACAACAGUGAGUGGUCUUGUUGCGCGAAACUGCCGCUAAACUUGGUGCCUGCCGAUCCUCAGCGGGGCCUCGCCGGGGCUGGACUACGCGAUCUCGGGCGGCCGUGAGCACCAAGUCAAGUGGGAAUCAUCGAAACACAGAAAAGACCGAUUGUGAGGCGAGAAGGCAGGAACCGAGUAGCGCCCGCAGUUGGAUUCCCGGACAGCGAUGACGAGCAGCAGACGAACUUGCAGAAUAAAUCCCUCGCGGAUGGCAGACACCAAAAGGAGACUUGUGAGAAGAACCUCCAGCAGGAGUUGUGUGAGGGACGCCCUCCCCCGGAGCUGUAAGAGAGACACCCCCAAGCAGAGUUGCGUGAGAGACGCCCGCACCAGAAGUUGUGUGUGAGGAGCCCC
Eriocheir sinensis (Chinese mitten crab) is the source of this 837-nucleotide long non-coding RNA. RefSeq lists it as uncharacterized. Lineage: Eukaryota; Metazoa; Arthropoda; Malacostraca; Decapoda; Varunidae. The transcript is spliced from 7 exons. The record is from RefSeq and is a predicted model, not a curated record.